This is a non-coding RNA of Triticum urartu, 623 nucleotides long. NCBI's taxonomy places the organism in Eukaryota, Viridiplantae, Streptophyta, Magnoliopsida, Poales, Poaceae. The record is from RefSeq and is a predicted model, not a curated record.
CCUCCAGAUUACGGUAUGAAAUCAAGUUCUGCCGCCCUUUAUGUGAUGAUUCGCUCCCUGUCUCCCCUGUCUCCGCCUAGGGUUUUGAUCGUGGGUGAUCGAGCUUGAAAUCAAGAUGAGAUGUGUUUCUUUUGGGGGCAUAUGAUUCAGAAUUGGGUAUUGAUCUUUGUGAUGUGUUGAUAUGUACAAUGACGUUCAGUUUUGCUAUGACUAAUCUCGCAAAGUAUCAAGCAUCAAGAGAGGUUAAAUCAAAUAGUGUAAUGCCUUAACCAGUGGGCUAAUGCGAACAUAAAAGCUUGGCGGGUAUGUAGAAACAUCAAAGGCGCUAUCACGAUUCUUCUUGCCUAUGUUCAGAGGUUGUGCUUGACGAUUCUCUUUUAUUUUAUUUUAUUUUCGUAGGUAUGCUUGCAGUUUACUUCAACACAUACAAAUUGUUGGCCCUAUAUUCUGAAAUCUUAUUCCUUGGUGUUCAGCUGCAGACUGGGUUCAGAUCGUCUUCGUGCCAGAAACGAAACAGAUCCACCCCAGAUGGUGCCGAGGGUGCAAUGCAGUCUGUGCAUUAGAGGUUUGGUAUGGGAUUCUGAAGAAAACAGUAGCCUCGUGAUGCCCUGACUUUGAUGCCA